GACGAACGCUGGCGGCGUGCUUAACACAUGCAAGUCGAACGGAAAGGCCCUGCUUUUGUGGGGUGCUCGAGUGGCGAACGGGUGAGUAACACGUGAGUAACCUGCCCUUGACUUUGGGAUAACUUCAGGAACUGGGGGUUAUACCGGGUAGGAGGUCCUUCUGGAUUGGGGGGGGUGGGAAGGUUCGGCGGGUGGGGGUGGACUCGCGGCUUAUCAGCUUUGUGGGGGGGUAGUGGCUUACCAAGGCUUUGACGGGUAGCCGGCCUGAGAGGGUGACCGGCCACAUUGGGACUGAGAUACGGCCCAGACUCCUACGGGAGGCAGCAGUGGGGAAUAUUGCACAAUGGGCGGAAGCCUGAUGCAGCAACGCCGCGUGCGGGAUGACGGCCUUCGGGUUGUAAACCGCUUUCGCCUGUGACGAAGCGUGAGUGACGGUAAUGGGUAAAGAAGCACUGGCUAACUACGUG
Molecule: ribosomal RNA, 467 nt
Filed under: uncultured bacterium
Lineage: Bacteria
Description: partial 16S ribosomal RNA
Rfam family: Bacterial small subunit ribosomal RNA
Source: RNAcentral